This 467-nucleotide ribosomal RNA is filed under the name uncultured bacterium. Its description in RNAcentral is "partial 16S ribosomal RNA". It matches the Rfam family "Bacterial small subunit ribosomal RNA", at positions 28 to 507 of the family's 1533-position model. The record is from RNAcentral.
GACGAACGCUGGCGGCGUGCUUAACACAUGCAAGUCGAACGGAAAGGCUCCAGCUUGCUGGAGUACUCGAGUGGCGAACGGGUGAGUAACACGUGGGUAAUCUGCCCUGCACUCUGGGAUAAGCCUGGGAAACUGGGUCUAAUACUGGAUAUGACCUUUCUCCUUAUGGGGUUUGGUGGAAAGUUUUUCGGUGUGGGAUGAGCCCGCGGCCUAUCAGCUUGUUGGUGGGGUGAUGGCCUACCAAGGCGACGACGGGUAGCCGGCCUGAGAGGGUGAUCGGCCACAUUGGGACUGAGAUACGGCCCAGACUCCUACGGGAGGCAGCAGUGGGGAAUAUUGCACAAUGGGCGGAAGCCUGAUGCAGCGACGCCGCGUGAGGGAUGACGGCCUUCGGGUUGUAAACCUCUUUCAGCAGGGACGAAGCGUAAGUGACGGUACCUGCAGAAGAAGCACCGGCUAACUAUGUG